GUUACUGUGUCCAAAGGGCGACACUCUCUCAGAAGAAGUGAAUCUGACUCUUCCUAAGGAUGUGAUAGAGGGAUCAGCCAGAUCCACUGUUUCAGUCAUUGGAGACAUAUUGGGUCGUGCACUGAGCAAUCUUCACGGAUUAUUACGG
Long non-coding RNA from Sinocyclocheilus anshuiensis, 148 nucleotides. RefSeq lists it as uncharacterized. The transcript has 3 exons. The record is from RefSeq and is a predicted model, not a curated record. NCBI's taxonomy places the organism in Eukaryota, Metazoa, Chordata, Actinopteri, Cypriniformes, Cyprinidae.